Molecule: ribosomal RNA, 1483 nt
Filed under: metagenome
Description: bacterial SSU rRNA
Rfam family: Bacterial small subunit ribosomal RNA
Source: RNAcentral
UGGCUCAGAAUGAACGCUGGCGGCGUGCCUAACACAUGCAAGUCGAACGAGAAAGUCCGUAAGGAUGAGUACAGUGGCGUCCGGGUGAGUAACACGUGGAAAUCUGCCCUUUGGUGAAGAAUACCCUCGAGAAAUCGAGGUUAAUACUGCAUAAGCCGGAAACGGGAAAGGUGGCCUCUUUGCUACCGCCGAAGGAUGAGUCUGCGGCCUAUUAGCUAGUUGGUAGGGUAAUGGCCUACCAAGGCGAAGAUGGGUAGCCGGCCUGAGAGGGUGUACGGCCACAAUGGAACUGAAACACGGUCCAUACUCCUACGGGAGGCAGCAGUGGGGAAUAUUGCACAAUGGGCGCAAGCCUGAUGCAGCGACGCCGCGUGGAGGAAGAAGGUUUUCGGAUUGUAAACUCCUGUUAAGUGGGAAAAAAUCCUGGCGGAUAAUACCCGACUGGGUAUGAUGGUACCACUAGAGAAAGUACCGGCAAACUUCGUGCCAGCAGCCGCGGUAAUACGAAGGGUACGAGCGUUAUUCGGAGUUACUGGGCGUAAAGAGCGUGUAGGCGGCUUGUUAAGUUGGUUGUUAAAUUCCCCGGCUCAACCGGGGGCUCGCAACCGAAACUGGCAGGCUAGAGUGCAAGAGAGAGAAGUAGAAUUCCCGGAGUAGCGGUAAAAUGCGUAGAUCUCGGGAGGAAUACCGAUGGCGAAGGCAGCUUCUUGGCUUGUAACUGACGCUAAAGCGCGAAAGCGUGGGGAGCAAACAGGAUUAGAUACCCUGGUAGUCCACGCCGUAAACGAUGAUCACUGGACGUGGGUUUGGCGAAGCCAAAUCCGUGUCGAAGCUAACGCGUUAAGUGAUCCGCCUGGGAAGUACGGUCGCAAGAUUAAAACUCAAAGGAAUUGACGGGGGUCCGCACAAGCGGUGGAACAUGUGGUUUAAUUCGACACUACGCGAGGAACCUUACCUGGGCUUGACAUGUAACUGCUACUGGUGGAAACACUGGGUUCGGUAGAAAUACCGACGGUUACACAGGUGCUGCAUGGCUGUCGUCAGCUCGUGUCGUGAGAUGUUGGGUUAAGUCCUUUAACGAGCGCAACCCCUACCGUUAGUUGCUACAUUAAGUUGAGCACUCUAAUGGGACCGCCUCGGAAACGGGGAGGAAGGUGGGGAUGACGUCAAGUCCUCAUGGCCCUUAUGUCCAGGGCUACACACGUGUUACAAUGGCGAGUACAAAGGGAAGCAAAGCCGCGAGGUGGAGCAAAUCUCACAAAGCUCGUCUAAGUUGGGAUCGAGGUCUGCAACCCGACUUCGUGAACCUGAAAUCGCUAGUAAUCGCGUAUCAGAACGGCGCGGUGAAUGCGUUCUCGGACCUUGUACACACCGCCCGUCACACCACGAAAGCUGUUCGCACCCGAAAUUGCCUUAGCUAACCUGUAAGGGAGGCGGGUAAUGAAGGUGAAGAGAGUGAUUGGGGUGAAGUCGGAACAAGGUA